This 460-nucleotide ribosomal RNA is filed under the name uncultured bacterium. RNAcentral describes it as "partial 16S ribosomal RNA". It matches the Rfam family "Bacterial small subunit ribosomal RNA", at positions 338 to 795 of the family's 1533-position model. The record is from RNAcentral.
CCUACGGUGGGCAGCAGUGAGGAAUAUUGGUCAAUGGACGAGAGUCUGAACCAGCCAAGUAGCGUGAAGGAUGACUGCCCUAUGGGUUGUAAACUUCUUUUGUACGAGGGUAAAUCCCGAUACGUGUAUCGGGUUGAAAGUAUCGUACGAAUAAGGAUCGGCUAACUCCGUGCCAGCAGCCGCGGUAAUACGGAGGAUUCAAGCGUUAUCCGGAUUUAUUGGGUUUAAAGGGUGCGUAGGCGGUUCGAUAAGUUAGAGGUGAAAUCCUGGGGCUCAACUCCGGCACUGCCUCUGAUACUGUCGGGCUAGAGUUUAGUUGCGGUAGGCGGAAUGUAUGGUGUAGCGGUGAAAUGCAUAGAGAUCAUACAGAACACCGAUUGCGAAGGCAGCUUACCAAACUACGACUGACGUUGAGGCACGAAAGCGUGGGGAGCAAACAGGAUUAGAUACCCGAGUAGUC